GAGUAGACCUCAAGCCUAGAGCACACCGGAGGGCUAGAGGGCUAUUCCUUUCCGGAGCAGUGAGCACGCCCACUGGACACAGGAUUUUCUGUGGCUUUAUUUGCUUGAAGUCAUGGGUCAAUGGUUCUCUUCGAAGAAUGAACAGCACCAAGAUUUGGCCUCCAGUUUUAAAGAAUAUUUUAAGAAAUUUAAGACGGGACACAAAAUCAUUUCUGAGGAAAUCAUCACUUCAGUUGAAUUAAGCAUGACAAAAGGGAACAUUCAAAUGGCAAACUCUGCAAUCAGUGAGGCAUUAAGAGAAAUCGAUGGUACACCGCUCAAUGUUGCUGUCACCGGGGAGUC
This 342-nucleotide long non-coding RNA is filed under the name Rattus norvegicus (Norway rat). Its description in RNAcentral is "long non-coding RNA NONRATT013472". The record is from RNAcentral. Lineage: Eukaryota; Metazoa; Chordata; Mammalia; Rodentia; Muridae.